GCUUGACUGUAGCUUGUAAUUGGGUUCGGGCUUUUUUUGCGCAGCCUAGGUGGGGAGGCAACGAUGAUUUUUUUUCCGGAAAAAUUUAAGCCGUAGUGAGAGACCACUCUGAAAAGGCUAGAAUGCCUACAUACAUGCAUCCUUGAAUCAGGACAUUUUGACAGUUGCAGGUGGGCAGUUUUACUGGGCGCGGUAUUCUCCUAAAAAGUAAACGGAGGGGGUGCAAAGGUUCCCUCAAGCUGGACGGAAAAUCAGCUUAAGAGUGCUACCAACGGCAAAAGGGAGCUUGACUGCAAGACCUACAAGUCGAGCCAGGGGCGAAAGCCGGCCUUAGUGAUCCGACGGUACCACGUGGAAGGGCCGUCGCUCAACGGAUAAAAGUUA
RNAcentral lists this ribosomal RNA (384 nucleotides) under uncultured alga. Its description in RNAcentral is "partial 23S ribosomal RNA". It matches the Rfam family "Bacterial large subunit ribosomal RNA", at positions 2098 to 2465 of the family's 2925-position model. The record is from RNAcentral.